AUUGAACGCUGGCGGCAGGCUUAACACAUGCAAGUCGAGCGGAGAUGAGGUGCUUGCACCUUAUCUUAGCGGCGGACGGGUGAGUAAUGCUUAGGAAUCUGCCUAUUAGUGGGGGACAACAUUCCGAAAGGAAUGCUAAUGCCGCAUACGUCCUACGGGAGAAAGCAGGGGAUCUUCGGACCUUGCGCUAAUAGAUGAGCCUAAGUCGGAUUAGCUAGUUGGUGGGGUAAAGGCAUACCAAGGCGACGAUCUGUAGCGGGUCUGAGAGGAUGAUCCGCCACACUGGGACUGAGACACGGCCCAGACUCCUACGGGAGGCAGCAGUGGGGAAUAUUGGACAAUGGGGGGAACCCUGAUCCAGCCAUGCCGCGUGUGUGAAGAAGGCCUUAUGGUUGUAAAGCACUUUAAGCGAGGAGGAGGCUACUGAGACUAAUACUCUUGGAUAGUGGACGUUACUCGCAGAAUAAGCACCGGCUAACUCUGUGCCAGCAGCCGCCGUAA
This 501-nucleotide ribosomal RNA is filed under the name uncultured bacterium. Its description in RNAcentral is "partial 16S ribosomal RNA". It matches the Rfam family "Bacterial small subunit ribosomal RNA", at positions 30 to 523 of the family's 1533-position model. The record is from RNAcentral.